UAAAUUAGUUCUUUUAGAGAAAUGAACCUCAUACCACCAUGUCUGUACUUGCACACUACUACUCCUGGUCAGAGGAAUCCCCUUCUGGGAAGCAAGAAAAAUAUCAGAAGUGAGCUAAUGACUUGAUGGAAAGAGCCUGCCACAAGCUUUGAAGUUCCACGUCAAAAUGGCCAAAAUCACAACUUCCAGCAAAGAGGAUCAGAAACAUACCCUUGCUGAACACACAAGCUGGGUUUCUGGCCAAAGCAUAUGAUUUUGGAGCUGAGUCUUCAAUCCUCAAACUGACUUCAGUUUUGAAAUCACUGGCAACAUUUUUGCUUUGUCUUUUGCUUCCUUUUUGCAGUCCACAUAUCCGAUCAGAGUGGUAGGCUGCUGUUUAGAAAGACACAUAUUCAAUGCAGAUUCUGUCUGGGAGAACAUUUCUGUACUAUGAUUCUCUUUUUUAAUUAGGCAUAGCUUUCCAAAAUUUUAAUUUCUUUUUACUAUCCUUUUAUUUCUCCUUUCUAGAACACAUUCUCAAAGCUGACUUUUUGACUUCUCUGCCUAUUUGUUUUCUUGAAUCCAAGGUCAUUAUUUGCAUUCUCCCGCUUUCUUUGGACAAGAGACAGAUCUGAAGGCAGAUUUUAAAAGCUUAAGGGUGAUAUCAAGCUCAAAUUUCUGUAUAAAUGCUGAAUACUGUGUUGAAAUAACUUAUGGGCUAAUACGAAUCUCAUAAUGAAUAAACGAAAAUCAGCCAAAAGACAGAGGAGAUAGGAAAAAAGUCUAUUAGCAUUAUCUUGAAAUCUAACCAUGAAUUCUGGCUGUCCUUUUGUCAGAUUAGUGAGAUCAGAUAAAGCCAUGAAAAAAAAUCAGAUAGUAAUUAGCAUCUUUAGCUUGAGAUAAAUGAGCAAGUAAUUCAGUGCUGGAAAUCCAUUCAGGUUUGUCUUUAUUUGUACAGAGUAUAACAAAAGAUUAACUACCUCCUAGGCUUCAUUAUUGUAACUAAGACCUACUUGUAACAAUGGAAAGAUAUUACUGUGUUCUCUGUCAGAAAAUAAUUGUGCUAUGUCUCCUAUGCCUGGGAACCAUGAUAUUACAAGCAUAAAGAGUCCCCAGCCAAUAAACCAUGAAGUAAAACAGAUA
Coturnix japonica (Japanese quail) is the source of this 1122-nucleotide non-coding RNA. The record is from RefSeq and is a predicted model, not a curated record. NCBI's taxonomy places the organism in Eukaryota, Metazoa, Chordata, Aves, Galliformes, Phasianidae.